Molecule: ribosomal RNA, 485 nt
Filed under: uncultured bacterium
Lineage: Bacteria
Description: partial 16S ribosomal RNA
Rfam family: Bacterial small subunit ribosomal RNA
Source: RNAcentral
GACGAACGCUGGCGGCGUGCUUAACACAUGCAAGUCGAACGAUGAAAGCUGGAGCUUGCUCCGGCUGGAUUAAUGGCGAACGGGUGAGUAACACGUGAGCAAUCUGCCCUUGACUCUGGGAUAACUCCGAGAAAUCGGUGCUAAUACCGGAUAUGACCCUUGGCGGCAUCGCUGGGGGUGGAAGGUUUUUCGGUCAAGGAUGAGCUCGCGGCCUAUCAGCUUGUUGGUGAGGUAAUGGCUCACCAAGGCGACGACGGGUAGCCGGCCUGAGAGGGUGACCGGCCACACUGGGACUGAGACACGGCCCAGACUCCUACGGGAGGCAGCAGUGGGGAAUAUUGCACAAUGGGCGCAAGCCUGAUGCAGCAACGCCGCGUGGGGGAUGACGGCCUUCGGGUUGUAAACCUCUUUUAGCAGGGAAGAAGCGAAAGUGACGGUGCCUGCAGAAAAAGCACCGGCUAACUACGUGCCAGCCGCCGCCGUAA